Long non-coding RNA from Aplysia californica (California sea hare), 394 nucleotides. RefSeq lists it as uncharacterized. The record is from RefSeq and is a predicted model, not a curated record. NCBI's taxonomy places the organism in Eukaryota, Metazoa, Mollusca, Gastropoda, Aplysiida, Aplysiidae. The transcript is spliced from 2 exons.
CUGCCUGGUUCGGGGCCACCACCACGUACUGAGGACAUUCCAGUUUUACGUCUCUUACAACACUAUUUAAAAACUGAAUGAACGGACACUGAUUUGGAAAGGAACACAUGAGGUGCACAACGUACUUUCCGUCAGAGAGCAAAUAGAAGGCUAUAGCCGUGCCGAUGACUUCCUGCAUGUCUGAGCCAAUGAUGGCGAUCUCCACCAUAAGCCAUAGCAGGAGCCGCGGCGCCUUCCGGUACUGCUUGAAGCACACUUCCGCCAGAUGGUUGCCCGUGACAACGCCCAGACGCGCUGACAGCCUCUGCAUCAGCAAUCCCAGGAUGGUGGACGACAUGAGGACCCAUAGUAGCUGAGGAGAGAGGGUGAAAAUAAAUGGUGAAAUGGUGUAGGG